AGAUCAUAGAUACUAUAGAAGACAGCGGGCUAUCGUAUCUAGUCUAUGUAUAUCUAUGGUCGGCAGGUCUGGUAGCAUCUCUGGCUGCUGUUGAUCUUGUUUUUGGAGUAAAACACGGUGGAAGCUGAAUUAGUGAGGAUGACUCCUGCUCCUGUCAUCUCUAAGCUCCUCACACAUCUUUACCUGCACAUGAGGAAAAUCACUCCUGUAGAAUGCAGAUGUUCAGAGGGAGAUGAUGCCACAUCUGGUCCAGCUGAUGGAAGGUCUUGAAGUUCUCUGACUGGCCUCGACUGAAGAUGGUCGUCUCACUGGAUUUAAGGUUCAGAUGCUCAGUAACAAACUCCACCAAUGUGCCAACAGGGAAGCUUUAGGUUUAUUAAAUGUUGCUAUGAAGGUUUCGCUGUUUUUCUUUGUGAAUGCAAUGUGCUCCAACUGAAACUUGAAUUAGAACUUAGAAGUAAAUCCUUCCAUCUGAAAGGAUUUAGUUGCAUUAAUAACCUCAUAACAUUUUAAUUUUUCUUCCAGUCUUGGUUGGAAAUAGAAUCUCUGUAUUGAUUCAGGUAAAAACUGAACUUCACAGCAUGUUGGAGCAAAACAACCAGAUGAAAACUGUGAUGGUGUUGGAUUGUCAGACCGUAAUGUUGCAGCUCAAAGCAGCUUUUCUAUCUCAGUUCAUUCUGACAUUCAGCUAUGAAUCAACACAGCAGAUGGUGAUCCAUGCUGUGGAAGUCUCACAUCUCCUGAUUUAAUGGAACUGCUUUGCACUUUUUACACUGUUUAUUUACCAACACUUUAUUUAAUAAAAGUCCCAUCUAGUUUUUAUGAGGAAUGUGAUGUUUUAAUUUCUCUGUGAAUAACUGCAGUCUAAUGGAACAGCUGGAGUUGUAACAUCUGUCCUGAUAUUGAUCAUGAAGUAUUGAUCAGAAUACUUAUGAUGCACAAUGAGGGACGUCUGCAGAGACUGAGAAAGAGUCUCACCACAUCCUGACAUGAGGAAAAAGACUUUAUUGAAGACUACAAUGAGAAAAACUAUCAGACAGCAGACGGCAUGCAUUCAAGCUGCUGAAUUCAUGGAUGAAUCAUCUGGCACUAGAGAGGAAGACCAUCAAACAUCCAUGUCAGCUGAUGGAGGUCCAAGAGUCUCACCAAACAACCAACCUACAGAGUGAAGACCUCAAAUCUGAUUGGACGGCCUCCUAUUCAGCCACAUGUGAC
This is a long non-coding RNA of Amphiprion ocellaris (clown anemonefish), 1215 nucleotides long. NCBI's taxonomy places the organism in Eukaryota, Metazoa, Chordata, Actinopteri, Pomacentridae. The record is from Ensembl.